GAUGAACGCUGGCGGCGUGCUUAACACAUGCAAGUCGAACGAUGAAGCCCAGCUUGCUGGGUGGAUUAGUGGCGAACGGGUGAGUAACACGUGAGUAACCUGCCCUUGACUCUGGGAUAAGCCUGGGAAACUGGGUCUAAUACUGGAUAUGACUUCUCGUCGCAUGGUGGGGGGUGGAAAGAUUUAUUGGUCUUGGAUGGACUCGCGGCCUAUCAGCUUGUUGGUGAGGUAAUGGCUCACCAAGGCGACGACGGGUAGCCGGCCUGAGAGGGUGACCGGCCACACUGGGACUGAGACACGGCCCAGACUCCUACGGGAGGCAGCAGUGGGGAAUAUUGCACAAUGGGCGCAAGCCUGAUGCAGCGACGCCGCGUGAGGGAUGACGGCCUUCGGGUUGUAAACCUCUUUCAGUAGGGAAGAAGCGAGAGUGACGGUACCUGCAGAAGAAGCGCCGGCUAACUACGUG
Molecule: ribosomal RNA, 466 nt
Filed under: uncultured bacterium
Lineage: Bacteria
Description: partial 16S ribosomal RNA
Rfam family: Bacterial small subunit ribosomal RNA
Source: RNAcentral